CCUACGGGAGGCAGCAGCGAGGAAUCUUGGGCAAUGGGCGAAAGCCUGACCCAGCGACGCCGCGUGGGGGAAGAAGGCCUUCGGGUCGUAAACCCCUUUUGCCGGGGAAGAAGCCCUGACGGUACCCGGCGAAUAAGCCAUGGCUAACUACGUGCCAGCAGCCGCGGUAAUACGUAGGUGGCAAGCGUUGUCCGGAUUUACUGGGCGUAAAGGGCGUGUAGGCGGUCCGUUAAGUCCGGUGUGAAAUCUCCCGGCCUAACCGGGAGGGGUCAUCGGAUACGGACGGGCUAGAGGGGGGAAGAGGAAGGCGGAAUUCCCGGUGUAGCGGUGAUAUGCGUAGAUAUCGGGAGGAACACCAGUGGCGAAGGCGGCCUUCUGGGCCUCCCCUGACGCUGAGGCGCGAAAGCGUGGGGAGCGAACCGGAUUAGAUACCCGGGUAGU
RNAcentral lists this ribosomal RNA (441 nucleotides) under uncultured Chloroflexota bacterium. Its description in RNAcentral is "uncultured Chloroflexi bacterium partial 16S ribosomal RNA". It matches the Rfam family "Bacterial small subunit ribosomal RNA", at positions 338 to 794 of the family's 1533-position model. The record is from RNAcentral. Lineage: Bacteria; Bacillati; Chloroflexota.